This 460-nucleotide ribosomal RNA is filed under the name Vibrio splendidus. RNAcentral's name for it is "partial 23S ribosomal RNA". It matches the Rfam family "Bacterial large subunit ribosomal RNA", at positions 1 to 511 of the family's 2925-position model. The record is from RNAcentral. Lineage: Bacteria; Pseudomonadati; Pseudomonadota; Gammaproteobacteria; Vibrionales; Vibrionaceae.
GGUUAAGUGACUAAGCGUACACGGUGGAUGCCUUGGCAGUCAGAGGCGAUGAAAGGCGUAAUAACUUGCGAUAAGCCCAGAUUAGGUAGUAAUAACCUUUUGAGUCUGGGAUUCCUGAAUGGGGAAACCCACUUGCAUAAGCAAGUAUCCUGUUGUGAAUACAUAGCAACAGGAGGCAAACCGGGGGAACUGAAACAUCUAAGUACCCCGAGGAAGAGAAAUCAACCGAGAUUCCGAAAGUAGCGGCGAGCGAAAUUGGAUUAGCCCUUAAGCUUUUAAUGAGACAGAUGAAGGCUCUGGAAAGUGCCGCAAUAAAGGGUGAUAGCCCCGUAAUCGACAUCUCAUAAUCAGUGAAAACGAGUAGGGCGGGACACGUGAUAUCCUGUCUGAAUAUGGGGGGACCAUCCUCCAAGGCUAAAUACUACUGACUGACCGAUAGUGAACCAGUACCGUGAGGGAA